GGUGGAUGCCUUGGCAUGCACAGGCGAUGAAGGACGUGAUACGCUGCGAUAAGCGUCGGGGAGGUGCGAAUACCCUUGAUCCGUAGAUUUCCGAAUGGGGAAACCCACCUAAGGUGUUGGAAAAUCAGAGCAG
RNAcentral lists this ribosomal RNA (133 nucleotides) under Beta vulgaris subsp. vulgaris (sugar beet). RNAcentral's name for it is "rRNA 5_8S_rRNA". It matches the Rfam family "Bacterial large subunit ribosomal RNA", at positions 23 to 167 of the family's 2925-position model. Lineage: Eukaryota; Viridiplantae; Streptophyta; Magnoliopsida; Caryophyllales; Amaranthaceae. The record is from RNAcentral.